UACGUAGGGGCAAGCGUUAUCCGGAUUUACUGGGUGUAAAGGGAGCGCAGACGGCAGUGCAAGUCUGAUGUGAAAGCCCGGGGCUCAACCCCGAAACUGCAUUGGAAACUGUACAGCUUGAGUGUCGGAGAGGUAAGCGGAAUUCCUAGUGUAGCGGUGAAAUGCGUAGAUAUUAGGAGGAACACCGGUGGCGAAGGCGGCUUACUGGACGAUGACUGACGUUGAGGCUCGAAAGCGUGGGGAGCAAACAGGAUUAGAUACCCUGGUAGU
RNAcentral lists this ribosomal RNA (270 nucleotides) under uncultured prokaryote. RNAcentral describes it as "partial 16S ribosomal RNA". It matches the Rfam family "Bacterial small subunit ribosomal RNA", at positions 524 to 794 of the family's 1533-position model. The record is from RNAcentral.